GAUGAACGCUGGAGGCGUGCCUAAUACAUGCAAGUCGAGCGAACAGAUAAGGAGCUUGCUCCUUUGACGUUAGCGGCGGACGGGUGAGUAACACGUGGGUAACCUACCUAUAAGACUGGGAUAACUUCGGGAAACCGGAGCUAAUACCGGAUAACAUUUGGAACCGCAUGGUUCUAAAGUGAAAGAUGGUUUUGCUAUCACUUAUAGAUGGACCCGCGCCGUAUUAGCUAGUUGGUAAGGUAACGGCUUACCAAGGCAACGAUACGUAGCCGACCUGAGAGGGUGAUCGGCCACACUGGAACUGAGACACGGUCCAGACUCCUACGGGAGGCAGCAGUAGGGAAUCUUCCGCAAUGGGCGAAAGCCUGACGGAGCAACGCCGCGUGAGUGAUGAAGGGUUUCGGCUCGUAAAACUCUGUUAUUAGGGAAGAACAAACGUGUAAGUAACUGUGCACGUCUUGACGGUACCUAAUCAGAAAGCCACGGCUAACUACGUG
Molecule: ribosomal RNA, 497 nt
Filed under: uncultured bacterium
Lineage: Bacteria
Description: partial 16S ribosomal RNA
Rfam family: Bacterial small subunit ribosomal RNA
Source: RNAcentral